This is an RNA transcript of Zea mays, 684 nucleotides long. It is a transcript of the gene named nuclear pore complex protein NUP43 pseudogene, with no coding region annotated. NCBI's taxonomy places the organism in Eukaryota, Viridiplantae, Streptophyta, Magnoliopsida, Poales, Poaceae. The record is from RefSeq and is marked validated. The transcript has 4 exons.
GGUGAACCUAGAGUGGUCAUCCGAGGAAAGAAGGUCACUGCAUUGCUGAUAGUGAGGAGCAGAAAGUUCAUGUUAUUGUUGGUGUGUUGACCCUUACCACUCUCCAAUUUUAGUCCACCCCUAUUGACCACAUAGUUCAAAUGAGUAUUAUGGGUGUGAUUACAUGAGUCAUAUCUGCAACAUGGCUCAUUUUUGAAUGUUUGCUGGUGGGAUGCUCAUCUCUUCUAUGUCUACAAGAAUAUUUUGCCAGUGAUGACGUGUGUUUAGAGGAUGGGAUCCUUGCAAUUGUCAAACAAGGAGAUGAGAGACCCCUUGAAUUGCUUGCUAAAGCAUAUGCUAUCAAAUCUUUUGACAUAGAUCCCCAGAACCCCUCUGAUGUUGUUUUCACGUUAGAAUGGGAAUCAAUCGGUGUCCUACCUUGUGGCGAGAUGGCGAGAAGAAAGAUAAUUUUUACUACCAAGGGAUCUUAAUCAGAAUUCUAGGCUCAUUCAUACAUUCACUACAAUGCCUUCGAACUCAUGAACAUUUAUCUCUGGCUCUAUUGUGGUGGGUUACAUGAAUAGAGUUUUUGCAUGUUCUUCGUUUUAUAUGGUGACAUACUUGUUACUAUGUGACAUUGUUUGAUGAAACCCUUGCGGCAUUGUAUUAUUUAUUUUGUUCUAUAUAGUCUUAACAUUUUAUCAA